UACAGAGGUGGCAAGCGUUGUUCGGAAUUACUGGGCGUAAAGGGCGCGUAGGCGGCCAUCUAAGUCAGACGUGAAAUCCCCCGGCUUAACCUGGGAACUGCGUCUGAUACUGGACGGCUGGAGUUUGGGAGAGGGAUGUAGAAUUCCAGGUGUAGCGGCGAAAUGCGUAGAUAUCUGGAGGAAUACCGGUGGCGAAGGCGGCAUCCUGGACCAAUACUGACGCUGAGGCGCGAAAGCUAGGGGAGCAAACGGG
This 253-nucleotide ribosomal RNA is filed under the name uncultured bacterium. RNAcentral describes it as "partial 16S ribosomal RNA". It matches the Rfam family "Bacterial small subunit ribosomal RNA", at positions 524 to 776 of the family's 1533-position model. The record is from RNAcentral.